RNAcentral lists this long non-coding RNA (660 nucleotides) under Homo sapiens (human). RNAcentral describes it as "non-protein coding lnc-OR2B2-4:3". The record is from RNAcentral. Lineage: Eukaryota; Metazoa; Chordata; Mammalia; Primates; Hominidae.
CUUUCUCCGGGAUUCCUCUGAGGGCCAAGGUCUGGUCACCCAGAGGCUGCUAAUUUCAAAGGCAAUAUGAGAGGGACUGGAUGUUUGGAGGGGGACACGGGGCUGGACAUCUGGAUCCCCAAACCCGGACUCACCUCUCGGACAGGGCUGAUUCCGAUCGGACACUUCCGGUGGAAGGACUGAGCGGCGCUACACUUCAAGAAUUCCGUCCACAGGGACUUGUGAGUCUGCGCAGAAGGCGGGAUGCCUUUGGACUACAAUUCCAAGAAUCCUUCCUGGGUCUCUUCGGGCGCAGACUUUUCGCCAAAGUCCUGAAGAUCUCAGGGCUUGAAGGAGGGGGCAUCUUUUUUCUCCAUUGUAGUAGUGUGUCUUGCUAAAUAACAGAAGGGACUCCUGAAAAGAAAAUGACGUUGGCCGGGCGCGGUGGCUCACGCCUGCAGUCCCAGCACUUUGGGAGGCCGAGACGGGCGGAUCACGAGGUGGUGAAAUUGAAGCCCACGCAGCAGGGUUGCAACUGAAACUUCAUCUCCUCUGCAAAACCUUCCUGCAUUCCCAGACAACUUUUCUUCUGAGGCCUUGUUUGAUUCAUCCCCUUACCCCAGUGGAACUCAGAUAUUCAAAAUGGUAUUAAUUAAAACCACUGGCUGUCAUUGGUCCAUG